GCAAGCCUGAGAAACGGCUAGCAGGACUAAGGUCUGCAGCAGGCGCGAAACUUACACAAUGCUCGCCACGAGCGAUGUAAUGAAGAACCAUAACGAUGUAUUGGUCUUUUUACAGACUAGUACAAUUGGAAUGAGACGACUUUAAACCAGUUAGUCGAGUAACAAAUGGAGGGCAAGUCUGGUGCCAGCAGCCGCGGUAAUUCCAGCUCCAUUAGCAUACAUUAAAGUUGUUGCGGUUAAAACGCUCGUAGUUGAAUUUCUGGCGGCUCCCCAUGGGUGUCGGCCGUUAAAGGGCCUACCGGUUGGCUAGCGCCUCCGGUUGUGCCUGGCCGCUUCACUUCACUAGGAAGCCGUUGUUUCGUCACUUAAUCGAGUGCGAAGCGGGGUGCGUCUACGGAUGCUGGCUGGCCUCGCGCCGCCAGCACCUAGUUGCAUCGCCUUUACCUUGAGAAAAUUAGAGUGCUCAAAGCAGGCAGUUGGGAGGUAAAACUCCCUUUAUGCUUGAAUAAUGUUGCAUGGAAUAAUAGAAUACGGCCUCGGUUCUAUUCUGUUGGUCUUAUAGAACAACAAACAAGUUGGUUGAGGCACUAAACAACCGCGGGCUCUGUUGUGGUCCGAGGCUCUUGGGUUUCGUCCAGCCUGUUGUCUAGAGCCUAAAAACUCUAGUACCUCCUGGCAAGCCCAAUCCUAGUUCCAUCCAAAGCAACUACCCGCCGGUUAGCCACCAUCCAACUGAGGCAAUGGUUAAAAGAAAUAGUCGCGGCGGCAUCAGUACUGCAUCGUGAGAG
Molecule: ribosomal RNA, 788 nt
Filed under: Vittacus shaoguanicus
Lineage: Eukaryota; Metazoa; Arthropoda; Arachnida; Trombidiformes; Eriophyidae
Description: bacterial SSU rRNA
Rfam family: Eukaryotic small subunit ribosomal RNA
Source: RNAcentral